UUAGCCGUUCUUUUCCUUUUUCUACCUUUUUUAUGUAUAGCAUGUGGAUAUUAGGGUUGCAUUUUCCCUUUUUAGGACCCUUUUCCUCACGCGCGUAUCAAACUAUUCCCUCACUCACGUACGUGUGAUUGGUUGAUUGGAUGUAUGUUUACUUGUUUAUCUCGCGCUUGCAUUGCAUUUGGGAGGGGGUGUGUCACCUUUAGAGCCUCUCGUGGUUCUCAACCCCUUCCCUCAAAAUAGGAAAACACUUCAUACGUGCACGUUUACUUGCUUUUAUCCCAUUUUAUUUUAUUUUUCGUGGGCGUUUCCCACACCGCCUUGUAGGAUUAGGAUCGAUUGCCUUGGGUAGGCGCCUUGGGUAGGCGGCUGGUGUGCUCUGCGCCCAUAGCGCUACCUAAGGGAUCACUCGAGCCACCGAUCAAAGGCCCUGGGAGUGAUGACCCUUCGCCUUUAGGUCUGAAGGCUUGGGAGCCGAAACCUUAUCGAGUCUAGAUGCAUUAGUGAACCCCAGCCUCAUGCAUCCAUGUUAGAAUUUUCCUAGGUUAGAGUCAGCCUCACCCUAUUUUAAGCACAUUAGGCACGAGGGAAGGGGUUCCACCCCUCUUACUUGCUUUAUUGUAUUUCUUUUUCUUAAUUGCUCCCAAUAUGUUAUGUGUAUUACCAAUUGCACUAACCAUUCUUUUGUUUUCUUGGCUUGCAUUCAUAUGCCCUAGCAAUAAGAGGCCCUUUUGGCACUCUUUUAGUGACCUACCCACUAGAUAACUCACAUGUUUAAAUUUCAGUCAUUAUACUUAAUAAAUACAUUUCAUUUUAGACCUUUUUCCCCCCGAUGCAUUAUUUAUGUCCCUUAGGUCAUAUUUGUCACAUAUUUACAUCGCUUUAAUAAAUGACAUCAUGCAUAAACCCUAGAAAGGGAAUGCCAUUUAGGGGAUCCCGUGUCAGGAAUAAGCCACCUUGUGUCUCGGAUACUUAAUCCAGUGAGACUUGCACGUUUACAUUUUGUACCAUCCAAAGGGGGUAGUGCACAAGGUAAGGUAGGAUCCGAU
RNAcentral lists this long non-coding RNA (1046 nucleotides) under Coffea arabica (coffee). RNAcentral describes it as "long non-coding RNA (CARA_LNC001978)". The record is from RNAcentral. Lineage: Eukaryota; Viridiplantae; Streptophyta; Magnoliopsida; Gentianales; Rubiaceae.